GCUCAACAGCUAGCCCAACCAACCCAAUCAAACCCCCAUCAUUUAUAGUUUUUGAAAACCUUUAAAAACCUAAACAAACCAUUUUUCCUCCUAAGUACGGGAGACCGAAAAGGAGAAUUCAGGAGCAACAGACAAAGUACCGCAAGGGAAAGCUGAAAAAGGGAUGAAAUAGCUCUCUCAAGCCUAAGAAAGCAGAGCUAAAUUCUCGUACCUUUUGCAUCAUGAUUAAGCCAGUACACUGAAGCAAAGCGCACUUUAGUUUUCUACCCCGAAACUAGACGAGCUACUCCGAGGCAGCCUAUUAUAGGGCCAACCCGUCUCUGUGGCAAAAGAGUGGGAAGAACUCUGAGUAGAGGUGACAGACCUACCGAGCCUAGUUAUAGCUGGUUGCCUAGAAAAUGAAUAGAAGUUCAGCCCCCCGACCUUCCCGCCCCAACAUCUUAGAUCUGUUAGGCCCCGGGAUGCCCGGAGGCGUUAGUCAAAGAAGGUUCAGCUUCUUUGAACAGAGAUACAACUCUAAGGGUAGGUUAAAGAUCACAGUCAGUAAAGGAGCCGUUGUUCUAGUGGGCCUGAAAGCAGCCAUCUAAUCAGAAAGCGUUAAAGCUCAUACAACUCCCUCUCACCCUUUUAUUACGAUAGAUUAUCUUACACCCCCAAAUAUUACUAGGCCAUUUCAUGCCUUCAUGAAAGAGACCCUGCUUAAAUGAGUAAUAAGAGGGCACGGCCCUCUCCCCACACAUGUGUAACUCGGAUUGGACUUCCCACCGACAAUUAACGACCCCAAAAUCAAGAGGGUAUUGCAUCUUAACCCCAGUCAACCGGAAAGACAUGCACUAAACACCAUCGUUACCCCGACACAGGAGUGUGCGUAAGGAAAGACCAAAGGACGAGGAAGGAACUCGGCAAACACUCUAAGCCUCGCCUGUUUACCAAAAACAUCGCCUCUUGCAACAUGAGAAUAAGAGGUCCCGCCUGCCCUGUGACUUUUAUAGUUUAACGGCCGCGGUAUUUUGACCGUGCGAAGGUAGCGCAAUCACUUGUCCUUUAAAUGGGGACCUGUAUGAAUGGCACAACGAGGGCUAAGCUGUCUCCCCUGUCUAGUCAGUGAAAUUGAUCUUCCCGUGCAGAAGCGGGAAUUAUACCAUAAGACGAGAAGACCCUAUGGAGCUUUAGACUUAAGACGGACCAAAUAAACACGGCUUGUAUAACCCAUGUCGAACCCAUUGGCACCCCGUCCUUCUGUCUUCGGUUGGGGCGACCGUGGGGAAAAGAAAAACCCCCAUGAGGACUGAGGGCCCCACUCCCUCAGAGCUAAGAGCUACGCCUCGAAGCAGCAGAACCUCUGACUUUAAUGAUCCGGCCAAUCGGCCGAUCAACGAACCCAGUUACCCUAGGGAUAACAGCGCAAUCCCCUCCCAGAGCCCAUAUCGACGAGGGGGUUUACGACCUCGAUGUUGGAUCAGGACAUCCUAAUGGUGCAGCCGCUAUUAAGGGUUCGUUUGUUCAACGAUUAAAGUCCUACGUGAUCUGAGUUCAGACCGGAGUAAUCCAGGUCAGUUUCUAUCUAUGGUUUGACCUUCCCCAGUACGAAAGGACCGAGAAGGGGGGGCCCAUGCUAUGAGCACGCCCCACCCCCACCUAAAGAAAACAACUAAAACAGGCAACCGGGCAUACCCCCUGUCAAGCCCUGCCAGAGAAAAUGGCAU
Molecule: ribosomal RNA, 1706 nt
Filed under: Bathytyphlops sewelli (Sewell's spiderfish)
Lineage: Eukaryota; Metazoa; Chordata; Actinopteri; Aulopiformes; Ipnopidae
Description: 16S rRNA
Rfam family: Bacterial large subunit ribosomal RNA
Source: RNAcentral